UAGAGUUUGAUCCUGGCUCGGAAUGAGCCCUAGUUACAGGCUUAACACAUGCAAGUCGAGGGAAACGACAUCGAAAGCUUGCUUUUGAUGGGUGUCGACCGGCGACACGGGGUGAGGUAAACGGGUAUCCAACCUGCCCAUCAAUUGGGGAUAACCUUGCGAAAGUAAGACUAAUACCCAAUGAUAUCUCUAGAAGACAUCUGAAGGAGAUUAAAGAUUCAUCGGUGAUGGAUGGGGAUGCGUCUGAUUAGCUUGUUGGCGGGGUAACGGCCCACCAAGGCGACGAUCAGUAGGGGUUCUGAGAGGAAGGUCCCCCACAUUGGAACUGAGACACGGUCCAAACUCCAACGGGAGGCAGCAGUGAGGAAUAUUGGUCAAUGGGCGAGAGCCUGAACCAGCCAAGUAGCGUGCAGGAUGACGGCCCUAUGGGUUGUAAACUGCUUUUAUAAGGGAAUAAAGUGAGUCUCGUGAGACUUUUUGCAUGUACCUUAUGAAUAAGGACCGGCUAAUUCCGUGCCAGCAGCCGCGGUAAUACGGAAGGUCCGGGCGUUAUCCGGAUUUAUUGGGUUUAAAGGGAGCGUAGGCCGGAGAUUAAGCGUGUUGUGAAAUGUAGAUGCUCAACAUCUGCACUGCAGCGCGAACUGGUUUCCUUGAGUACGCACAAAGUGGGCGGAAUUCGUGGUGUAGCGGUGAAAUGCUUAGAUAUCACGAAGAACUCCGAUUGCGAAGGCAGCUCACUGGAGCGCAACUGACGCUGAAGCUCGAAAGUGCGGGUAUCGAACAGGAUUAGAUACCCUGGUAGUCCGCACGGUAAACGAUGAUUACUAGGUGUUGGAGGAUUGACCCCUUCAGUGCCGCAGUUAACACAAUAAGUAAUCCACCUGGGGAGUACGACCGCAAGGUUGAAACUCAAAGGAAUUGACGGGGGCCCGCACAAGCAGUGGAGUAUGUGGUUUAAUUCGAAGCAACGCGAAGAACCUUACCAGGUCUUGACAUCCGAUGCAUAGUGCAGAGAUGCAUGAAGUCCUUCGGAACAUCGAGACAGGUGGUGCAUGGUUGUCGUCAGCUCGUGUCGUGAGAUGUUGGGUUAAGUCCCGCAACGAGCGCAACCCUUAUUGCCAGUUACUACGCAAGAGGACUCUGGCGAGACUGCCGUUGACAAAACGGAGGAAGGUGGGGAUGACGUCAAAUCAUCAUGCCCUUUACGACCUGGGCUACACACGUACUACAAUGGCGUUUAACAAAGAGAAGCAAGACCGCGAGGUGGAGCAAAACUCAAAAACAACGUCUCAGUUCAGAUUGCAGGCUGCAACUCGCCUGCAUGAAGUCGGAAUUGCUAGUAAUCGCGGAUCAGCAUGCCGCGGUGAAAACGUUCCCGGGCCUUGCACACACCGCCCGUCAAG
RNAcentral lists this ribosomal RNA (1403 nucleotides) under uncultured bacterium. RNAcentral's name for it is "partial 16S ribosomal RNA". It matches the Rfam family "Bacterial small subunit ribosomal RNA". The record is from RNAcentral.